RNAcentral lists this small RNA (27 nucleotides) under Bombyx mori (domestic silkworm). RNAcentral's name for it is "ovarian small RNA-24767". Lineage: Eukaryota; Metazoa; Arthropoda; Insecta; Lepidoptera; Bombycidae. The record is from RNAcentral.
UCAAGUAUUCUGUCAGUGGACACCUGC